GGACCGAAAAGGCAAACCUCCUCGCCGGCGUGCUGUGGCGGGGACCCGCCAGGUAGGGUGGUGGGCGCCGCAAGGCGGGGACGCAAAGCCGCGGGCCUUACCGCCGUGUAACGUUGAACGUUAAACGUUGCACGCGGUUGGUAGCCGGGCUGCCGAA
RNAcentral lists this non-coding RNA (157 nucleotides) under Candidatus Omnitrophota bacterium. RNAcentral's name for it is "Omnitrophica WOR c-di-GMP sequence". It matches the Rfam family "c-di-GMP-I riboswitch aptamer". From Rfam's summary of the family: GEMM was predicted in a large-scale screen for bacterial structured RNA regulatory elements. Genes associated with GEMM are involved in a diverse array of functions, including chemotaxis regulation, signal transduction, secretion and chitin. Lineage: Bacteria; Pseudomonadati; Candidatus Omnitrophota. The record is from RNAcentral.